Molecule: ribosomal RNA, 429 nt
Filed under: Gemmatimonadota bacterium
Lineage: Bacteria; Pseudomonadati; Gemmatimonadota
Description: Gemmatimonadetes bacterium partial 16S ribosomal RNA
Rfam family: Bacterial small subunit ribosomal RNA
Source: RNAcentral
UAGGGAAUCUUCGGCAAUGGACGAAAGUCUGACCGAGCAACGCCGCGUGAGUGAAGAAGGUUUUCGGAUCGUAAAACUCUGUUGUUAGAGAAGAACAAGGACGUUAGUAACUGAACGUCCCCUGACGGUAUCUAACCAGAAAGCCACGGCUAACUACGUGCCAGCAGCCGCGGUAAUACGUAGGUGGCAAGCGUUGUCCGGAUUUAUUGGGCGUAAAGCGAGCGCAGGCGGUUUCUUAAGUCUGAUGUGAAAGCCCCCGGCUCAACCGGGGAGGGUCCUUGGAAACUGGGAGACUUGAGUGCGGAAGAGGAGAGUGGAAUUCCAUGUGUAGCGGUGAAAUGCGUAGAUAUAUGGAGGAACACCAGUGGCGAAGGCGGCUCUCUGGUCUGUAACUGACGCUGAGGCUCGAAAGCGUGGGGAGCAAACAGG